CACGUAGUUAGCCGGCGCUUCUUCUGCAGGUACCGUCACUCUCGCUUCUUCCCUACUGAAAGAGGUUUACAACCCGAAGGCCGUCAUCCCUCACGCGGCGUCGCUGCAUCAGGCUUUCGCCCAUUGUGCAAUAUUCCCCACUGCUGCCUCCCGUAGGAGUCUGGGCCGUGUCUCAGUCCCAGUGUGGCCGGUCGCCCUCUCAGGCCGGCUACCCGUCAUCGUCUUGGUGAGCCAUUACCUCACCAACAAACUGAUAGGCCGCGAGUCCAUCCCCCACCGAAAAACUUUCCAACAACCACCAUGCGGCGGAAGUUCAUAUCCGGUAUUAGCCACGAUUUCUCGAAGUUAUCCCGAAGUGGGGGCAGGUUACUCACGUGUUACUCACCCGUUCGCCACUAAUCAGACCGAGCAAGCUCGGUCGUCAUCGUUCGACUUGCAUGUGUUAAGCACGCCGCCAGCGUGUCCUGAGCCAGGAUCAAACUCU
This 484-nucleotide ribosomal RNA is filed under the name uncultured Brachybacterium sp. RNAcentral's name for it is "partial 16S ribosomal RNA". Lineage: Bacteria; Bacillati; Actinomycetota; Actinomycetes; Micrococcales; Dermabacteraceae. The record is from RNAcentral.